CAGUGCCCGCAGCGGGUCCGGCAGCCCUGGCCUUAUCCGGGCGUCGGGGCUUCGGCGGGCAUUAGCAGCAGCUGAGAGGCCUGUGAGAGGUUCUGGGGCGCCACCGCAGUCAUUCUGUUCAGCGGGUAUAGGCCAUCACGGGGAGGCUCUACCUUCAAGUGUUAUCCAGAAUCAGACCACCUCACCUCAUCUACUGUGGCCUCCCUGGGAUGGGCCUGGCCUCCUUCAGUCUGUUCUCACCACAAAGCCACCAGAAGGAUCCUUUUAUUUUUAUUGAUUGAUUGAUUGAUACGGGGUCUGACUCUGUCAGCAGGCUGGAGUGCAAUGGCACGAUCUCACCUCACUGCAACCUCUGCUUCUUGGACUCAAGCAAUCCUCCCACC
RNAcentral lists this long non-coding RNA (383 nucleotides) under Homo sapiens (human). Its description in RNAcentral is "HSALNT0277873". The record is from RNAcentral. Lineage: Eukaryota; Metazoa; Chordata; Mammalia; Primates; Hominidae.